Molecule: long non-coding RNA, 552 nt
Filed under: Homo sapiens (human)
Lineage: Eukaryota; Metazoa; Chordata; Mammalia; Primates; Hominidae
Description: PREDICTED lncRNA (TCONS_00089671)
Source: RNAcentral
CAAGACGCCGCUUUCACCGGUUAGAAGAACUUCAUUCCGUGGUUCUCUACUGCAUAGGGGCUGAUGGCCAGUGUCACUCAUUCAGGACACACCCCCACCUGGCUUCUGGCCCCUUCUUCCCUGUGAUUGGAGACAUUUGCUAACCACCGUCAUCUCCCUUGUACUACAGAGCAGCUUUUUCCUCUCUACUAGAUCGGGCAUUGCCUUCCUCUUCAAGGCCCCUUGUCUUGGCCCAGUGGUGACCAAGGAGAAAGUUCUGCUCACCUAAGACUUAGCACUAGGCAGGUGCCUCUGGCACAGCCUCCUUCCUUUGGGAGCUGGCGGGACUGUGUGAUCCUGGGGCGCCCUCUCGUGGUUGAAGAUGCUCACAAACCUCGUCUGAAAUCUCUCCUGUCUACGGCCGCCAGGUGAAUCGUGCCAAGACGCCACUUUCACAGAUUGAGCACUUACUUACCUGGUAUUGUGAUGACCUGUGUCUCUCCCCUUGACCGGAUUGUGACAUCCAAGGCAGGAACCUUGCCUGGUUGAUUAUGGCGUAUUCUUGGACUCUAG